CACACCCCCUUCAUUAAUGUACUUAAGAAAAGAUUUAUGUGCAAGAACUUUUCAUUUCACUUGAUUUUACAUAAAAAAAAAAAAAUAAAAAAAAAUAAAUUCUUUUUUUAAAUUCUAUUUUACGGUGCGUUUCGCGUAUAUGCAGCGAAAGAGAACGUAAAUGUGAACGUGCCUGUUUUCCCUAAACUACAUAGACGGGAGAAUUAUAUAGAGUGUCGGCAUCGUAAAUGGUAAUCUUCGUCUGUGUCUCUAUCAAAGUCAAAGCAAGUCAGACAAGUUUAUAUUGAGAGCUUCGGUGCGACACGGCAUUUUUAUUUGGCCUAAAGACCUAAUUUCUUCUUUCUAAACUAGUGCAUCAUUACUUUAUUACAAAGGCAACAAUUAAUUAGAAAAAUAACAUAAAUAAACAAAUUAUCUUAUUUAUCCCGCUUUGAGUUCAAGUUACAAAAAAAAAAAAAAAACAAAAAAAAAAUUAAAUAAAAGAAAAGGAAUCAAUGAAAGCAAAAGUGUCUCAGAAAUUUUUAAUUCUUAACCUUUCAUUGAAAUCGAAGAAGAAGCAUAAUAAUAUCUGAAAUGCUUUUUUUUUUUUUUUUUAACGUAACGGUUGCUUGACUGCUGUGAAUGGUAUUCUUUGCGUUGUUGUUGCUGGUUUAAAAUGAUAAAAUAGAUAUGAGAAAAAGAAUACAGUGUAGUAUAAAAUAUAAAAAGUGGAAAUAAUGCACAAACGAAAGUAAAAAUUCUGAUGAGGUAAAGAAAAAGUUCUGGUUAAUAAUAAUAGUAAUAAUAAUAAUAAUAAUAAUAAUAAUAAUAAGAAUAGUAAUAAAAAUAUCAUCGGAAACGAUAUAAGCAAAUAGAGAAUAAUUCUGCAAUAUAGUAAAAUUGAAAAUAAAACUUGUACAACGGUAUUCCAUCUGAUCUAUGUGUGUAUACAUGCACAGAUAUGCAUGGUGUGUACGUAUGUUUGCAUAGGCAAAAGGCUCCAAACUAAAUUGCCCUUCGUUAAGUCAGUCAGUCGGUCGGUCGGUCGCCCCUUUGCUAGACGUUGUCGUGAUGUUCUGUUAUUAGUGCUUAUAAUAAUUUUUUUUCUCGCCUAUAAAAAUUUAAAAAAAAAAAAAAAAAAAAAAUAGCAAAAAAAAAAAAAAACCACACAAAAACAAAACAUUGCUAAAUAUUAAGCAAAAUUCUACAAUUAUUUCUACAUUGCUUUUAUCAUAUUAUUCCCACCGCUGUUCGUCAAUCUACCAUAGUUGGUAUCACAUUUGUUUCCUAUAAAUUCAUUAGUUAUGUGUGCAUGCAACUACAUGCAGAUACAUAGGCAUAUAUAUACAUAUGUAUAGCAAAAGUUUCUCAGUGCUGUGUAUUCCUGCGAAGAUAAAGAAUGAAAGAGAAAGAAAACAAUAACAAAUAACAACAAUAGUAUUGUGUAUACAUGUGUGCAUACAAACUAAUCGUAAUAUGAAAAUUGAAAGCUCUCACAUGUUGCCUUAAAUAAAGAGUGUUUACACAAAGAAAAAAACGACAAAAAAAAAA
Long non-coding RNA from Glossina fuscipes, 1530 nucleotides. RefSeq lists it as uncharacterized. NCBI's taxonomy places the organism in Eukaryota, Metazoa, Arthropoda, Insecta, Diptera, Glossinidae. The record is from RefSeq and is a predicted model, not a curated record. The transcript has 2 exons.